This 470-nucleotide ribosomal RNA is filed under the name uncultured beta proteobacterium. RNAcentral describes it as "bacterial SSU rRNA". It matches the Rfam family "Bacterial small subunit ribosomal RNA", at positions 198 to 650 of the family's 1533-position model. Lineage: Bacteria; Pseudomonadati; Pseudomonadota; Betaproteobacteria. The record is from RNAcentral.
GGAGGAAAGCAGGGGAUCGCAAGACCUUGCGCUCAUUGAGCGGCCGAUGCCUGAUUAGCUAGUUGGUGAGGUAAAGGCUUACCAAGGCGACGAUCAGUAGCUGGUCUGAGAGGACGACCAGCCACACUGGGACUGAGACACGGCCCAGACUCCUACGGGAGGCAGCAGUGGGGAAUUUUGGACAAUGGGGGAAACCCUGAUCCAGCCAUGCCGCGUGAGUGAAGAAGGCCUUCGGGUUGUAAAGCUCUUUCAGCCGGAACGAAACGGUCACGGCUAAUACCUGUGACUACUGACGGUACCGGAAGAAGAAGCACCGGCUAACUACGUGCCAGCAGCCGCGGUAAUACGUAGGGUGCGAGCGUUAAUCGGAAUUACUGGGCGUAAAGCGUGCGCAGGCGGUUUUGUAAGUCAGAAGAGAAAUCCCCGGGCUUAACCUGGGAACUGCGUUGUUAAAAUGAGGCUAGAAGGGC